UACGUAGGGUGCGAGCGUUAAUCGGAAUUACUGGGCGUAAAGCGUGCGCAGGCGGUUUUGUAAGCCAGAUGUGAAAUCCCCGGGCUUAACCUGGGAAUGGCAUUUGGGACUGCAAGGCUUGAGUGCGGCAGAGGAGACUGGAAUUCCCGGUGUAGCAGUGAAAUGCGUAGAUAUGCGGAGGAACACCGAUGGCGAAGGCAAUCCCCUGGGCCUGCACUGACGCUCAUGCACGAAAGCGUGGGGAGCAAACAGG
Molecule: ribosomal RNA, 253 nt
Filed under: uncultured bacterium
Lineage: Bacteria
Description: partial 16S ribosomal RNA
Rfam family: Bacterial small subunit ribosomal RNA
Source: RNAcentral